AUAAGAGUAGACUUCGGCCGCCACUCGGGCAAAAUUAUCAGGCAUUCACAUGGGUUCAAUUCCCGAGUUGGGAAGUUCUUCAUCGCAUAUCUCCGUCUGGGAUGUUGUCUCCCACUCAACUUGGUUUGGCCCUGACUUAUAGUCCACCUCAAGACUUAAAAACUGCGUCGAUAGGGGUGUAAAACAUAUUACGAUUUUUUUAAAAGACCAAAAUCCCAGGUUUACGAGGUGCAAAACUUAAUUGCAUUAGACAAAAACAAAAACAAACAAAACAAAAAUGCGAAAAGCUCAUUGACACAACAUAUUUUAAAAACACGAUAGUAAAAAAUAGUGAGGAGUUGAAGGUGCUGUUGACGACUGUUUCGGUAUUGUUAGGGCCUGGGUUUUUAUUAAGCUAUUUGCUUGGAUUUUACGGCAAGCCUGCACACUACAAACUGCAUAAUAUCACGAUUUGACCUGAGGCCACAUACCAAUACCAUAGCGUCUGCUGUGCUGCAGCGAUUUGGGGCCUCGCUGUCGCUUGCAGGAGACCCGAGUUCGAUUCCUGUUUGGGAAGACAUUUUUAUCAAGGAAUCAACUCACAGUCCAAUGAUGGUAUUCCAUGGGAUGAACAUUGUUGCUGCUGUUACAAAGCAACUGAAUUCAGGACAGACCCCGGUCAUGGUUGCUGAUCAGCCACUCUUUACAUUGGCAAAGAAGAUUCCGUGGAAAUUUUCAGGUGUCUUGGGAGAGGACAAGUUUGUGGUGAUGCUUGGGGCGCUGCACACUGAGCUUGCAUGCCUAGCCCGGAGGUGGGAGCCAACAAACUCGCUCGUGGUAGGCCUACUAUCUGCCGACGUUUUCUAAACUUGGACUGUGUCUGUGCGGGGGGAAAGAGGAAGAGAGACAGCAACGGAUGCAUCUCCUGUCACUGUCCAGACCCCAUUAUAUGGGACUUGGGGCACAAAUUAAUUGGGAAGAAAUAAAAAGUUAAAUUAGUCCUCUCCAACAUGACAUCUAUAAAAUGAGACCCCCCCCACCCCCCCGCAAAAAAGGAGAAUGCUUGACUUCGACGCUUGGCGUAGAUGACGGAAUCUUUCUCUACUUCUCUUCCAUUAUAACAGACGAAGUACAUCAUGUUUGUCUUGAACGAGAAGAAAAUAAAGGGAAUUCACUUAGA
This 1159-nucleotide long non-coding RNA is filed under the name Aplysia californica (California sea hare). RNAcentral describes it as "uncharacterized LOC118477415, transcript variant X1". The record is from RNAcentral. Lineage: Eukaryota; Metazoa; Mollusca; Gastropoda; Aplysiida; Aplysiidae.